AUCACUUCUUGGACUUUUGGCUAAGAUCAAGUAUAGUAUCUGUUCUUAUAAGUUUAAUAUCUGAUAUGUCCCUCCCUCUAGGCUGUAAACUCACUGUGGGCAGGGAAUCUGUCUGUUUAUUGUUAUAUCGUACUCUUC
RNAcentral lists this small nuclear RNA (138 nucleotides) under Ornithorhynchus anatinus (platypus). RNAcentral describes it as "U2 spliceosomal RNA (ENSOANG00000024642.2)". It matches the Rfam family "U2 spliceosomal RNA". From Rfam's summary of the family: U2 is a small nuclear RNA (snRNA) component of the spliceosome (involved in pre-mRNA splicing). Complementary binding between U2 snRNA (in an area lying towards the 5' end but 3' to hairpin I) and the branchpoint sequence (BPS) of the intron results the bulging out of an unpaired adenosine, on the BPS, which initiates a nucleophilic attack at the intronic 5' splice site, thus starting the first of two transesterification reactions that mediate splicing. The record is from Rfam by way of RNAcentral. Lineage: Eukaryota; Metazoa; Chordata; Mammalia; Monotremata; Ornithorhynchidae.